This 256-nucleotide ribosomal RNA is filed under the name uncultured Gardnerella sp. RNAcentral describes it as "partial 16S ribosomal RNA". It matches the Rfam family "Bacterial small subunit ribosomal RNA", at positions 99 to 356 of the family's 1533-position model. The record is from RNAcentral. Lineage: Bacteria; Bacillati; Actinomycetota; Actinomycetes; Bifidobacteriales; Bifidobacteriaceae.
CGAACGGGUGAGUAAUGCGUGACCAACCUGCCCCAUGCUCCAGAAUAGCUCUUGGAAACGGGUGGUAAUGCUGGAUGCUCCAACUUGACGCAUGUCUUGUUGGGAAAGUGUUUAGUGGCAUGGGAUGGGGUCGCGUCCUAUCAGCUUGUAGGCGGGGUAAUGGCCCACCUAGGCUUCGACGGGUAGCCGGCCUGAGAGGGCGGACGGCCACAAUGGGACUGAGACACGGCCCAUACUCCUACGGGAGGCAGCAGUG